UAGGCACCUAAAGAAUUAUCUUUCUAUGGUCUUUUGGCCAUUUCAGAACUUUGGAAAUGUAAUGGUAAAUUCAUUAGAAAGAAACAGUA
This is a small nucleolar RNA of Otolemur garnettii (small-eared galago), 89 nucleotides long. The record is from Ensembl. Lineage: Eukaryota; Metazoa; Chordata; Mammalia; Primates; Galagidae.